This is a long non-coding RNA of Oncorhynchus tshawytscha (Chinook salmon), 1458 nucleotides long. RefSeq lists it as uncharacterized. The transcript has 6 exons. The record is from RefSeq and is a predicted model, not a curated record. Lineage: Eukaryota; Metazoa; Chordata; Actinopteri; Salmoniformes; Salmonidae.
AGACUGUUAAUGCAGAUAGGGUUUAGAUAUGGUGGGAUAAGACAGGGCUAGGUUUAGAUAUGGUGGGAUAAGACUGUUAAUGCAGACAUGGCUAGGUUUAGAUAUGGUGGGAUAAGACAGGGCUAGGUUUAGAUAUGGUGGGAUAAGACAGGGAUAGGUUUAGAUAUGGUGGGAUAAGACUGUGUUAAUGCAGAUAGGGCUAGGUUUAGAUAUGGUGGGAUAAGACAGGGCUAGGUUUAGAUAUGGUGGGAUAAGACUGUGUUAAUGCAGACAGGGAUAGGUUUAGAUAUGGUGGGAUAAGACAGGGCUAGGUUUAGAUAUGGUGGGAUAAGACAGGGCUAGGUUUAGAUAUGGUGGGAUAAGACUGUGUUAAUGCAGAUAGGGCUAGGUUUAGAUAUGGUGGGAUAAGACUGUGUUAAUGCAGAUAGGGAUAGGUUUAGAUAUGGUGGGAUAAGACUGUGUUAAUGCAGACAGGGAUAGGUUUAGAUAUGGUGGGAUAAGACAGGGCUAGGUUUAGAUAUGGUGGGAUAAGACUGUGUUAAUGCAGACAGGGCUAGGUUUAGAUAUGGUGGGAUAAGACUGUUAAUGCAGACAGGGCUAGGUUUAGAUAUGGUGGGAUAAGACAGGGCUAGGUUUAGAUAUGGUGGGAUAAGACUGUGUUAAUGCAGAUAGGGAUAGGUUUAGAUAUGGUGGGAUAAGACCGGGCUAGGUUUGGAUAUGGUGGGAUAAGACAGGGCUAGGUUUAGAUAUGGUGGGAUAAGACAGGGCUAGGUUUAGAUAUGGUGGGAUAAGACAGGGCUAGGUUUAGAUAUGGUGGGAUAAGACUGUGUUAAUGCAGACAGGGCUAGGUUUAGAUAUGGUGGGAUAAGACAGGGCUAGGUUUAGAUAUGGUGGGAUAAGACUGUUAAUGCAGACAGGGAUAGGUUUAGAUAUGGUGGGAUAAGACAGGGCUAGGUUUAGAUAUGGUGGGAUAAGACAGGGCUAGGUUUAGAUAUGGUGGGAUAAGACAGGGCUAGGUUUGGAUGUGGUGGGAUAAGACUGUGUUAAUGCAGACAGGGCUAGGUUUAGAUAUGGUGGGAUAAGACAGGGCUAGGUUUAGAUAUGGUGGGAUAAGACAGGGCUAGGUUUAGAUAUGGUGGGAUAAGACUGUGUUAAUGCAGACAGGGCUAGGUUUAGAUAUGGUGGGAUAAGACAGGGCUAGGUUUAGAUAUGGUGGGAUAAGACAGGGCUAGGUUUAGAUAUGGUGGGAUAAGACAGGGCUAGGUUUAGAUAUGGUGGGAUAAGACAGGGCUAGGUUUAGAUAUGGUGGGAUAAGACAGGGCUAGGUUUAGAUAUGGUGGGAUAAGACUGUGUUAAUGCAGAUAGGGCUAGGUUUAGAUAUGGUGGGAUAAGACAUGGCUAGGUUUAGAUAUGGUGGGAUAAGACAGGCUAGGUUUAGAUAUGGUGGGAUAAGACAUG